Molecule: ribosomal RNA, 433 nt
Filed under: uncultured bacterium
Lineage: Bacteria
Description: partial 16S ribosomal RNA
Rfam family: Bacterial small subunit ribosomal RNA
Source: RNAcentral
AACGAACGCUGGCGGCAUGCCUAACACAUGCAAGUCGAACGAGACCUUCGGGUCUAGUGGCGCACGGGUGCGUAACGCGUGGGAACCUGCCCUUAGGUUCGGAAUAACUCCCCGAAAGGGGUGCUAAUACCGGAUAAUGUCUUCGGACCAAAGAUUUAUCGCCUUUGGAUGGGCCCGCGUUGGAUUAGCUAGUUGGUAGGGUAAAAGCCUACCAAGGCGACGAUCCAUAGCUGGUCUGAGAGGAUGAUCAGCCACACUGGGACUGAGACACGGCCCAGACUCCUACGGAAGGCAGCAGUGGGGAAUAUUGGACAAUGGGCGAAAGCCUGAUCCAGCAAUGCCGCGUGAGUGAUGAAGGCCUUAGGGUUGUAAAGCUCUUUUACCCGGGAUGAUAAUGACAGUACCGGGAGAAUAAGCGCCGGCUAACUCCGUG